AAAAACUGUCAUGCUCUUUAUUUAAUCAAAAUAAACAUUAACAUUUUUGUUUGCAAAAUUCGCAGCGGAUAGAAAUCAACCAACCAAUCAAAACAUAUAAUGGUUUACAGGUAAAAAGGUUCAACAAUCAACAGUAAACAAUUAAAACAUCCCGUCCCGAUGUUACAUCUAUCAGAGCACGACCCACUACGUAGACUACACUAGACUCCAGGCACUAGCUUCUAC
Molecule: long non-coding RNA, 225 nt
Filed under: Lathyrus oleraceus (garden pea)
Lineage: Eukaryota; Viridiplantae; Streptophyta; Magnoliopsida; Fabales; Fabaceae
Description: Pisum sativum (pea) long non-coding RNA (PSAT_LNC039945)
Source: RNAcentral